This 1088-nucleotide long non-coding RNA is filed under the name Eptatretus burgeri (inshore hagfish). RNAcentral describes it as "lncRNA (ENSEBUG00000017417.1)". The record is from RNAcentral. Lineage: Eukaryota; Metazoa; Chordata; Myxini; Myxiniformes; Myxinidae.
CGCUUCUCCAUUGUGCAAAUACCCCGUAGUUGUGAGCAAAGUGACCCCAGCAUUUGCAGCCAGAUAGAUGCCUUUUCGGUGACCUUACCGUGCCGACGGACCCUAAUUCUCCUCUGCCGUGGAUUGUAAUUGCAGCACAGAACAUGAGGAAGAAGAAGAGGACAUUGCAGAAGACGUGUACACAACAACACCCGAACUGCUUGACGUGUCCGAUGAUCAGGGCAUGAUGGAAAUGCUCCCAAGGAGUCGGAUCGAUGCAUCCGAGGGGGAGUCAGAGCCUUGCUUGUUGAGCUCCGACUCUCUUCCUGCACAGUUCCACUCUUCACCAUCUCGUUCAGCACUUCCUGCCUCUCCUGACUCCUCCAACUUCAACAGGGUGUACAGUGUCGUGGGCUCACCACGACAGUUUGAGGCAGGCGUGUUUGCCUCGACCGAAUCCCUCGGCACGCCGAUGGACAUUGAAUUGCGUGAUGCUGGUCUCGGAGGAGUUUGGGCAAGGUGUCACUUGGAACCCGGUCGACAAUUUGAGCCGAGCGAUGAACAACACGGCCUUUUGGACAGGGAUGGAUCAAGGCGCUGGCAGCAGAGACAGAUCAGAUGUGGCUUUCUCCCUGCUGACUCCUUGAAUCCAUUUCCUGUAUGUUCUUGCCCACCGAAGCAUUUCAAGUUCAUCGGGUUACCUGCAGGCAAUUUGGAAAAGCUGCUGUUCUUAGCGAGGGUUCGGAAGGCAUCCAGAAAGCAUCUCAGUCACCCCUCCCCUACCCCCUUCCCUCUCCCAUUCCUAACCUUGGCCCCUCCUUUUUGUAUAUUUACCGUCCCUGGACAUUAUCUCCAGAUCACAACCUGUUGCCUCUUAUAAAGUUUCCAGAUAAAUGUCAACAACACUCCCCCCCCACCCCUUUUUGGUAUUUGUGCUCAAUUUUUUUUUUAUUACUUCUCAUCUUUGUGUUCUCUCUUAAUGUUGUCCUUUUGCAUUCAACUUUUUAUUUUUUUUAAUUUUUUUUUACAAAAGUCCUUUGCUUUUUAACUUACAAAUACAAGCUUUCCGACCAGUUGCACUCCCUUGCACUUUGAAUUUCUAAUUUUCC